AUUGCCUCAGUAACGGCGAGUGAAGCGGCAAGAGCUCAAAUUUGAAAGCUGGCCCCUUCGGGGUCCGCGUUGUAAUUUGCAGAGGAUGCUUCGGGUGCAGCCCCCGUCUAAGUGCCCUGGAACGGGCCGUCAUAGAGGGUGAGAAUCCCGUCUGGGACGGGGUGUCUGCGUCCGUGUGAAGCUCCUUCGAAGAGUCGAGUUGUUUGGGAAUGCAGCUCUAAAUGGGUGGUAAAUUUCAUCUAAAGCUAAAUACUGGCCGGAGACCGAUAGCGCACAAGUAGAGUGAUCGAAAGAUGAAAAGCACUUUGAAAAGAGAGUUAAACAGCACGUGAAAUUGUUGAAAGGGAAGCGUUUGCGACCAGACUCGCUCGCGGGGUUCAGCCGGCAUUCGUGCCGGUGUACUUCCCCGUGGGCGGGCCAGCGUCGGUUUGGGCGGCCGGUCAAAGGCCCUCGGAAUGUAUCACCUCUCGGGGUUGUCUUAUAGCCGAGGGUGCAAUGCGGCCUGCCCGGACCGAGGAACGCGCUUCGGCUCGG
This 534-nucleotide ribosomal RNA is filed under the name Aspergillus udagawae. Its description in RNAcentral is "eukaryotic LSU rRNA". It matches the Rfam family "Eukaryotic large subunit ribosomal RNA", at positions 74 to 610 of the family's 3401-position model. The record is from RNAcentral. Lineage: Eukaryota; Fungi; Ascomycota; Eurotiomycetes; Eurotiales; Aspergillaceae.